CUAAGACGAGGAUAACGACUGGAAACGUCGCUAAAACUGGAUAGGAUCAUUUGAGGCAUCUCGAAUGAUUUAAAGGGGCUUUCAAGCCACACUUAGAGAAAGGCCUGCGGCGCAUUAGCUAGUUGGUGGGGUAGAGGCCUACCAAGGCGAUGAUGCGUAGCCGGACUGAGAGGUCGAACGGCCACAUUGGGACUGAGACACGGCCCAAACUCCUACGGGAGGCAGCAGUAGGGAAUUUUCGGCAAUGGGGGAAACCCUGACCGAGCAACGCCGCGUGAAUGAAAAGACGUAUUUCGGUAUGUAAAGUUCUUUUAUUAAGGAAGAAUAUCACGGAUAGGAAAUGAUCUGUGAGUGACGGUACUUAAUGAAUAAGCCCCGGCUAACUAUGUGCCAGCCGCCGC
This 401-nucleotide ribosomal RNA is filed under the name uncultured bacterium. Its description in RNAcentral is "bacterial SSU rRNA". It matches the Rfam family "Bacterial small subunit ribosomal RNA", at positions 132 to 518 of the family's 1533-position model. The record is from RNAcentral.